ACUCAAAUGAAUUGACGGGGACCCGCACAAGCGGUGGAUUAUGUGGUUUAAUUCGAAGCAACGCGCAGAACCUUACCUAGACUUGACUUCCUAAGAAAAGCUGCAGAAAUGUAGCCUUUGAAUAUAGCAAUAUAUUCGCUUAGAGACAGGUGCUGCAUGGCUGUCGUCAGCUCGUGUUGUGAAAUAUUGGGUUAAGUCCCGCAACGAGCGCAACCCUUAUUCUUAGUUGCCAGCAUUAAGUUGGGCACUCUAGGAAAACUGCCUGCGUUAAGCAGGAGGAAGGUGGGGAUGACGUCAAGUCCUCAUGGCCUUUAUGUCUAGGGCUACACACGUAAUACAAUGGUAGGUACAAAUCGAAGCAAAACCGCGAGGUGAAGCAAAUCGCAAAAAGCCUAUCUCAGUUCGGAUUGGAGGCUGCAACUCGCCUCCAUGAAGUCGGAAUCGCUAGUAAUCGCGGAUAAGCACGCCGCGGUGAAUACGUUCCCGGGUCUUGUACACACCGCCCGU
RNAcentral lists this ribosomal RNA (507 nucleotides) under uncultured bacterium. RNAcentral describes it as "partial 16S ribosomal RNA". It matches the Rfam family "Bacterial small subunit ribosomal RNA", at positions 899 to 1397 of the family's 1533-position model. The record is from RNAcentral.